Rosa rugosa (rugosa rose) is the source of this 628-nucleotide long non-coding RNA. RefSeq lists it as uncharacterized. Lineage: Eukaryota; Viridiplantae; Streptophyta; Magnoliopsida; Rosales; Rosaceae. The transcript is spliced from 3 exons. The record is from RefSeq and is a predicted model, not a curated record.
ACCAGUGGAGAGAGAGAAACACAAGCUAGCCACCACCUCCCACCUUUUUCCGUCGCCAGCGCCGAUUCUGGCCAAAUCCGGUCACAAUUCUUACACCAUUCUCUUCUUCUCUUCAUGGGCUUUCUAUUGAUAUAUGUUUCAAUACCUAUCAUCAAGUGUGUGUGACGAAUCGAAGGAGAGAAGAUUGAGUGAUUUUCCGGCUAUUUUUCAAAUUCCGACCAAACCGUCAACAUUUUGGAGAAACCCUAAGGUAAUCCGGUUGAGCAAGGUUUCGAGGACGUUCCCGAGAUGGAACUCACCUAGUCACCCUUCAUUGUUAGCGUUGGAGAGGUCGAAUCAAUAUCCACAUCAAAGGCAUGCAUCCACUUGAUCUUCUUGAUCUUCUGACAUCAGUCAUAUAGUUUACUUAGUAGUAGUUCUUAUGUUAAUUAGAGAAGCUUUGAGAUGCCAUAAGUAAACUGAGGUCUAUUGAAAUUGCAUGUAAAUAUUGGACGAGACACUUUGUUUUAUCUAUUCAUUGAUGGUUAGUGAAAGUUGAUUUUGUGAGAGACAAGAGGUCAUAUUUGGGAGUUAUGGGAGAUAUAUGAUAUUAGAAGUGUAUUAUUGAUUUACAAGUUUUUGGAUAGUC